This 272-nucleotide ribosomal RNA is filed under the name uncultured bacterium. Its description in RNAcentral is "partial 16S ribosomal RNA". It matches the Rfam family "Bacterial small subunit ribosomal RNA", at positions 524 to 796 of the family's 1533-position model. The record is from RNAcentral.
UACGUAGGGGGCAAGCGUUGUCCGGAAUUAUUGGGCGUAAAGCGCGCGCAGGCGGUCCUUUAAGUCUUGUGUUUAAUGUCAGGGCUCAACCCUGAUUCGCAUGGGAAACUGGGGGACUGGAGUGCAGGAGAGGAAAGUGGAAUUCCACGUGUAGCGGUGAAAUGCGUAGAGAUGUGGAGGAACACCAGUGGCGAAGGCGACUUUCUGGCCUGUAACUGACGCUGAGGCGCGAAAGCGUGGGGAGCAAACAGGAUUAGAAACCCCCGUAGUCC